This 2666-nucleotide long non-coding RNA is filed under the name Sarcophilus harrisii (Tasmanian devil). RNAcentral's name for it is "lncRNA (ENSSHAG00000020949.1)". Lineage: Eukaryota; Metazoa; Chordata; Mammalia; Dasyuromorphia; Dasyuridae. The record is from RNAcentral.
GUGUGAAUGAAAAGCAUUUGAAAGAAGAUAGUAAUUUUGGAAGGCUGAGAUGAAGAGAGCACAUAUUUCAGGAAUUAAGAGAAAUUUCCUUGUAAUAUUCCUUAAGGUUAGAGAUUUAUUGUGGCAGCCCUUAAAAGCUAGAAUAGGCAGUUUUGCAUUUCACUCCAGAAGCAAUUAACAAUGCUUUUGAGAAGGGAUUUGCCAUGGAGUUAUUCGCGCUCCCCCCAUCCCCCCCGCCAAAAAACCCCCAAAUUUCUGGAAAGAUGUGAUAUCAUAAGCAAACCAGUUCUGGGGAACAGGGGCAAAAUAAUUUUGGUUAUAUCAUUUGAGGUAUUAGAAGCAUAUUCUAAGUGAAAAUGGUCAGGAGAGAAUUGGAAAUUUAGGGUUGAAGAUCAAAUAAAGGGCUGAAUAUACAAAUUUGGAAUCAGUUAAAGUUGAAUUCAUGAGUAUAAAAGAGUGACAAGAGACAAGAUCUUUAAAAAUACAUACUAUGUUUAGGGAUCAAAAGAAGAACAAAGCCAGAAGUAGGAUAAAGAACUCUGGCGUCAAGAAAAGAAUGAGAACACUAAUAAGUAGUAAAAGAAUUUAAGACUGAAAAAAGUAAUCAAGCUGAGCAACUUAGCAGUGUUGUAGAAGGGUUGAACUGGAAAGGACCUGCAGUGUCCUCACUGACCAAACUAUUAAGCAUGCUUUAAAUGAGUAUCCCAAAUGCUUAUCUGAAGAUAGUAAAAGGCCUCAGUUUGAAGGUACAGACAAAAAAAAAAAAAAUUCGCCCAAACCAUGCAAAUUUUUCCAAUCAAUUUGCAGCAACAAUUAAAUUUUGAAGUCUUAAAAUACUUUUUUGCUUAUAGACUUUUUGCUUCUAAGUUUAAGGGGAAAAUCACAUUAAAUUUUGCAAAGAAGAAUAGGAUUUCGUCUUUUAACACACAUGUACUCUCAACAAGUGUCAGUUGUUAGUCUGAUUUGCAAUUGUAUAGUAUUUAAGCACUUUAGAAACCUACUAUUAACCCUACAUUGCAACACCCACAUAGAGCAAGUGUUGGGAAUCAAAAAAAUACUUUUCAAUAUGCAUGUGGUGACAAUUUAUGUGGCCCUAGGAAAUCUCUAAAUUAUUGCACGCAGGAUUUUAUUUGAUUAUUUUCAAAACAUUCAUUUUUUUCUUCCGAUCUUAAAGUACUUUGUCAGCUUAAACUAGUCAUAUCUCUUUAAAUAACAAAUGAAUGAGAAUGCUAAUUGCAAUUAAACAUACCAAGACUGAUAGUUUAAAACUUCAACUUCACAUUAAAAAGCAUUAGGAUUUAAAGGUGACUGAAAAAAAAAAAACUUUAGAGUGUGUAUUUAGAAUCACACACAGGUUACCUUUACAGUUCAAUUUACUAUAUAGAAAUCAUGUUUUUAUAUUCAGUUAAAUUUUGGAUUGAUUACACAAUAUUGUAAACAGAAAGGAUAGUAACAUUAAUUCAGUACUUUUUAGCAUAUCAAAUUGAAAUACAUAGGUUCAAAACUUCAAUUUUUAUGGCAAACAGUCUUCAAAUACAAUACAGACAUCUCCUGAAGUUACUACCAUAUCAUUUACAAAGGUGAUACAGCUCUGAGCUGUUUUUCAUUUUCACAUAAAACAAUCUUCUACAGACUUCACAGCAAAAUUGAUAGGCUGUGAAAUUUAGAAGCUAUCAUAAGUGAUCAAUAAGCUCAAAGUUGCACAAGUUUGGCAUUUUGGGGCCACAAACAAGCAUGACAUGUAAAGGAGGUAGGGAAGCAAUUCCUGCAUCUCUCAGAGUUCCAAGGAUAUUGCAUGGUAAGUUUAGAAUUUAGAAUUUUGCAUAAAACCCUACAUUUAGCCUUGGCUAGCCCCACAAAUACAAUUAAGAUGACAUACCAGCAUGCUAGGAUCCUAAAUUUUAGUAGCCCCAAUAUUAAGUUCAAAUAGGCAUUCAUUAAAUCACAAAAUAUCAAGCAAUGAGUGCACCCUAUUGGUUUCAAAGGUUGAAAUUUUGAGAGAAACAUGAUCAAUUUCUUUCUGCUUUGAAUUCAGCACACAUGUAAAAACCAGCUCUGUAUUAAAUAUUCCUAACUCAAAAAUACAGGUUAAGAUUUUCUGUCAAUUGGCACCAAUGUGAAGUUAUAUUUCCACUUGGGAGGCAGAAAUUCCACACCUGAGCAAAAGCUAAGUUAGGAACAAUGAUCCUUAUUUCAUUACUAUUUCAAUUCUGAAAGCUAAAAUUAUUAAUAACAUUAGCAAUGAACAUUACAAAUCCUGACUAAACAUUGUCAGGCUAAGAACAAACAAAAACCCCAACCAAAUUAGUACAAGAAUUAAAAGAAUAAUGCGAACUGAACUCAAAGUAACAAAGAAUUAAGAGAACAGCUUAAAAUUUCUUUUUCUAAUUACCACGGUUGAAAAACUUAAUAGUGUGCUUUCCUGCAAUUAAAAAAUUUAAAUAUCCAGUGCAAAAGAGCAUCAAGGUUUUUGAAGAUGGAUAUAGCCCUUCUUUUUACUGAUAUGCGUAACUAUUUGCAAUUUAUCCCCCCCAUCUAUUCUGUUAUUUAGCAUAAAUUACCAUUUUGGCCAAUAAACUUGUAAUUUUAUGUCUAAAAUACUACAUGCAUUGUAUCUAUAUACAGAUGUCUAUUUAUUACUGUUGGGCUUGCAGGUUUUUUUUUUU